Molecule: long non-coding RNA, 2035 nt
Organism: Cannabis sativa
Lineage: Eukaryota; Viridiplantae; Streptophyta; Magnoliopsida; Rosales; Cannabaceae
Exons: 3
Source: RefSeq, a predicted model, not a curated record
UUUUAUAUUUAUCUCCAUGUGGACUUAAGUGUAGAGGUGGCUACAAACUCUAAAAACUUGAGUGUUUGAAUUGUCAUUGGUGUAUUUGUUGAAUUUGUGUAUGUGGGGUGUUACUACUUACAGGAUUAUUUGCUUGGAAAGUAUAAAUAGCCAUUAAGAAAGUACUUUUAAUGUAAAUCGACCAUUUAUUUUUCUUGCGGGAGUAUUAUUGCUUUGUUUCCCUCAUGCUACUAAAAAGUUUUAGUUUGUCUAUCUCUUGUUUGUCUAUAGAUCCAACAACAGUUUGAAAGUACAUGUAAGACCACAUAUUUUCAAAAAAUUGUAUUGUAGUUUCUUUAAUAGAUUUGAGUGUUAUAUGAGUAAAUUGAGUCUCAUCAGUUCAGUUUGAAUAAGAGAUUAUAAGAGCACUCUUCAGUUAAAGGACUAAGGUUGUUCACCUUUAAAGAACUUAAGAAAUACAAUUGUUUUUCAGUUGCGAAUGACAAUAUUGGAUUCUGAGGAUAUGGAGAAGGUUAAUUGUUUCUUUGGUUAUUAGUGUAUGUUAGGUAAGAGGAAGAAGUAAGUUAAUAUAUAUUAGAAUGGGUUGGGAUGAGGUGAUUGUUUUAGUAUAAAAUCUUUUAUAAGACGAAAGUGCUUAGAUAAUUAAUUUCAAGACAUUAUUAUGAAACCAAUUGCAUUUGAUAAAAUUAUAUUGUAUUCAUGGAAUUGUGAGAAGAAAAUAUUAGUUAUAUUAUUAUUUGGAUGAAAAUAUGGAUAAAUUAACUUAUUCAAUCACACUUACUCUUUGACACGAAACUAUACGUCUUACUGCUUAUUUUCAUUUUUCUAAUAAUUACUACCAAUUGUAUAGGAGCACUCUGAACAUGAAGCCACAAAACAAAUUAUAUGUUUGAUUCAAAUAUGGAACAGGUAGCAGUACACACUAUAAUGAUGAUGAUGAUAUCUAUAUUCUAUGAAUAUUCACUCCACAUAUAUGUCUGUAUUCUGAAACCGUUUUUCAGUUUGUAGUAAUCCUAUAAUAUGAAUCGAGUAAUAUCACUAACCUAAGACAAACAAAGAACAAGUUGUUGAACUCAAAAAUUAUACACACAAAAAUCGAGUAACAUCACUAACCUAAGUAUAAAAUGGUGCAAGAAGCAGAGCUCAAAACAACAAUGGUAUGGCUGUUGUUUUUGCAGCUGGGUUUUUGCAUACUGAUUUACACAUUUUUUUGUGUUCUUUUAUUUUUCUCGCUCUCCAUAUAUAGAUGGCUCUCUCUUCUUAAUGAUUAGAUAUAAUGAACUUUAGUGUAGUUUUUGGAAAUGAAAUCAUAGUGGAGUUGGUUGUACAUGAAGUCUACCUUAUUUGCUUCAUCAAAUGGUGAUACCAUAAUAGAAGUUCAUGCUCAUACAGUUAAAGUCAUAAUAAAUGGCAAAAUAUAUUGUAUUAUGAUGACUCAAUUGCAACUAAUGGAACCAAAAAAUUUCUUAUUGGAUAAUUUUUUUAUUUUAAUUUCUCAAUAACGUAAUUUAAUAUAUUUAUAAUUUUUAGUUUACUUUCUUAUGACUUUGAGUAGUCAGUGUAUAGUUUGAAUGAAGUUAACAUGUCUACCAAAAAGAAAAUUAAAGAUUAAAGUCUAUUGUCUUUGCUUAAAUUUAAUUGUCUGGACUAUGUUAUUUUUAGUAACAUGAAUUCUUUCAUAAUUUUUAGCAACAUGAGUGGAUCAUCGUCAAACAUGAGAAAACGUAAUUGGUAUGCAAAUAUUUCAAAGGAGCAACGAGAGGCAAUACAAAAAAAAAAAGACGUGAUGCUUAUACUUCCAAGAAACUUUAUAUGAUUGUAAGUGACUAACUCAAGACUUCAAUGACAAAUAUCAAGAAAAUAUCAAAUAUUUAGAUCAUAAUUUACUUUUCUUAAGUGAGGACAAGAUUCCAAGUUGGGAAUCCUCCUCUCCUAAUGUCUCAAGUUAUUCUUUUGCCUCCAUUCAUAAUAUGUUGUUGAAUCUAUUUUAAUAAUCUCGUUAUAUUACUUUAUGGGCAAAAUUUGUGCUUAAAGU